AUGCUGAAUGUUCACGUGCGAACAGUUACAAGAAUAUGGAAUCGAGCGAAAGAACAACUUGCAGCAGGCCAAGAAGUUGAUGUUUCAACUAAAAAGCACAACAGUGGUAGAAAGAGAAAACAGCUAGAUCUGGCGAGAACAGCGACAAUCCCACUGAACAGAAGAAGAACUAUCCGGUCACUCGCAAGGUGUUUAGGGGUUCCACGGUCGACCCUACACAAGAGGUUUCAAUUG
Molecule: ribosomal RNA, 234 nt
Filed under: Triticum aestivum (bread wheat)
Lineage: Eukaryota; Viridiplantae; Streptophyta; Magnoliopsida; Poales; Poaceae
Description: partial small subunit ribosomal RNA
Source: RNAcentral